RNAcentral lists this unclassified non-coding RNA (416 nucleotides) under soil metagenome. Its description in RNAcentral is "partial contains 5.8S ribosomal RNA, internal transcribed spacer 2, and large subunit ribosomal RNA". The stretch from base 1 to 120 matches the Rfam family "5.8S ribosomal RNA", at positions 35 to 154 of the family's 154-position model. The record is from RNAcentral.
GAUGAAGAACGUAGCGAAAUGCGAUAAGUAAUGUGAAUUGCAGAAUUCAGUGAAUCAUCGAAUCUUUGAACGCACCUUGCACUCCUUGGUAUUCCGAGGAGUACGCCUGUUCGAGUGUUAUGAAGCUCUCAAAACGCAAUUGGUUUAAAACCUGAUUGUUGUUUUGGAUUUGAACUUUGCCGUGUUAUAACGGCUGGUUUUAAAAGUAUUAGCUGGUACUAGAACGAAUUGGUUCUACUCAACGUGAUAAUUAUCUGAUCGUUGAGGACAUUCCUUUCACGAGGAAUGGCCAUAGUAAAUUCAAUGGACUGCUUCUAAUCUGGCUUUAAUUCUUUAUUGGAUUAACCACUUUUCAAAUCUGACCUCGAAUCAGGUGGGACUACCCGCUGAACUUAAGCAUAUCAAUAAGCGGAGGA